AUGCAGCCAGCUCCCGCGGUCGUCGUGCCUCCCGCAGGCCAGCCCAACAUGGCGCCGGCCUCCUCGGCCCAGCCCGACAUGCAUGGCUCGGGGCCUUCCACCCUGACGUCGAUCGCCACAGCACCCGCCUCACCCGCGCCGCUCUCGGCUGCGUCACCAUCCCCGUCCCCUUCUCCACCACCACCACCACCACCCCCUCCUCCUUCUCGUCGCUCUCGCGACAGCACCGCCUCCACCACCAACACUCACACCAUGCUCACUCGCGCCAAGCGUGGUAUUUUUCAGCCCAUUAAUAAACUUAAUCUAUCGGCUGAACACUCCUCUCUCUCUCCUAUUCCCAAAACAUAUCGCUCUGCUCUCCAGGAUCCCCUUUGGCGUGCUGCCAUGACUGAGGAGUACGAUGCUAUCCUUCAGAACCGCACUUGGACUCUUGUUCCUCGACCGGUUGGUGCUAACAUUGUUUCAGGAAAGUGGAUAUUCAAGCACAAGUUUGGUGCUGACGGUGCUCUCGCUCGGUACAAGGCACGGUGGGUGGUCUGUGGAUUCUCGCAGCAGCCUGGCAUUGACUACGACGAGACCUUCAGUCCAGUCGUCAAGCCGGCCACGAUCCGCGUUGUGCUCAGCAUCGCCGUCUCACAUGCUUGGCCGGUUCAUCAGUUGGACGUCAAGAAUGCCUUCCUCCAUGGCGAUCUUGACGAGGUGGUCCACUGUGAGCAGCCACCCGGCUUCAUCGACCCUACACGUCCUCACCAUGUCUGCCUGCUCCACAAGUCACUCUAUGGACUCAAGCAGGCGCCCCGCGCGUGGUACCAGCGGUUCGCUCAUCACGCUCAUCGACUGGGCUUUGUGGCUUCUCAGAGCGACGUGUCUCUGUUCGUGCUCCGGCACGGCUCUGAGAUGGCCUACCUGCUCCUCUACGUGGACGACAUCAUCCUCACCGCGUCCAGCGCCGCGCUUCUCCAGCACAUCACCGACCAGCUUCAUCGGGAGUUCUCCAUGACCGAUCUCGGGGACCUGACUUACUUCCUGGGGAUCUCGGUCUCUCGGUCUUCUUCCGGAAUGCUUCUCUCGCAGCGGCAGUAUGCCAUCAAUCUUCUUCAGCGCGCUGGCAUGAUGGAUUGCAACCCGUGUGUCACGCCUAUUGACACCCGUUGCAAGCUCUCCGCCGACGAGGGUCCCCUUGUCACCAACGCCAUGGAGUACCGGAGUUUUGCCGGGGCCCUUCAGUACCUGACGCUCACUCGCCCCGACAUUGCACAUGCUGUUCAGCAAGCGUGCCUCUACAUGCACGCUCCCCGGGAACCUCAUCUCAACCUCGUUAAGCGGAUUCUUCGCUAUGUUCGUGGCACCCUCGACCUCGGUCUACAACUCCACUCCACACCGGCCACCUCGCUCACUGCAUACUCUGACGCGGAUUGGGCCGGCUGCCCCGACACCCGACGAUCUACCUCUGGAUACUAUGUCUACCUUGGUGAUAACCCGGUGUCUUGGUCCUCCAAACGCCAGGCCACGGUGUCUCGCUCCAGUGCCGAGGCCGAGUAUCGAGCCGUGGCCCAUGUCGUGGCUGAGUGUUGCUGGCUUCGUCAACUUCUCCUCGAGCUUCAUCGUCCUCUACCAUCCGCCACCGUUGUCUUUUGUGAUAACGUCAGUGCUGUCUACAUGGCAUGCAACCCGGUCCAGCAUCGCCGCACGAAGCACAUCGAGAUUGACAUCCACUUCGUCCGCGAGAAGGUGUCUCUCGGUCAGAUUCGGGUUCUACAUGUGCCAUCCUCACAGCAGUUUGCCGAUAUCAUGACGAAGGGCCUACCGACUCAGCUCUUGGACUUUCGGUACAGUUUAUGCGUUCGACCGACGCACAAACUGCGGGGGGAUGUUAACGUAUAA
This 1884-nucleotide ribosomal RNA is filed under the name Triticum aestivum (bread wheat). RNAcentral's name for it is "partial small subunit ribosomal RNA". Lineage: Eukaryota; Viridiplantae; Streptophyta; Magnoliopsida; Poales; Poaceae. The record is from RNAcentral.